GACUCCCUGGGUGAGCCGUGGCCACGGAAUCCUGCGGCGUGGAGCUCCGGGGAAAAGUCAGUCACCAUGGACCUGCGUCAGUUUCUUAUGUGCCUGUCCCUGUGCACGGCCUUUGCUUUGAGCAAGCCUACAGAAAAGAAGGACCGAGUACACCAUGAACCUCAGCUCAGCGACAAAGUUCACAACGAUGCUCAGAAUUUUGACUAUGACCAUGAUGCCUUCUUGGGAGCAGAAGAGGCAAAGAGUUUUGAUCAGCUGACACCAGAAGAGAGCAAGGAAAGGCUUGGAUGAUCCAGACCCUGAUGAUGGAUUUAAUUAUAAACAGAUGAUGGUUAGAGAUGAGCGGAGGUUCAAAAUGGCAGACAAAG
This 368-nucleotide long non-coding RNA is filed under the name Rattus norvegicus (Norway rat). RNAcentral's name for it is "long non-coding RNA NONRATT020299". Lineage: Eukaryota; Metazoa; Chordata; Mammalia; Rodentia; Muridae. The record is from RNAcentral.